ACUCCUACGGGAGGCAGCAGUGGGGAAUAUUGCACAAUGGGCGCAAGCCUGAUGCAGCCAUGCCGCGUGUGUGAAGAAGGCCUUCGGGUUGUAAAGCACUUUCAGUCGUGAGGAAGGCGGGUACGUUAACUAGCGUAUUCGUUUGUACGUUAGCGACAGAAGAAGCACCGGCUAACUCCGUGCCAGCAGCCGCGGUAAUACGGAGGGUGCGAGCGUUAAUCGGAAUUACUGGGCGUAAAGCGCAUGCAGGUGGUUUGUUAAGUCAGAUGUGAAAGCCCGGGGCUCAACCUCGGAAUAGCAUUUGAAACUGGCAGACUAGAGUACUGUAAGAGGGGGUAAGAAUUUCAGGUGUAGCGGUGAAAUGCGUAGAGAUCUAGAAGGAAUACCGGUGGCGAACGGCGGCCCCCGUGGACAGAUACUGACACUCAGAUGCGAAAGCGUGGGAGCAAACAGGAUUAGAUACCCCUGGUAGGACAGUG
RNAcentral lists this ribosomal RNA (479 nucleotides) under uncultured bacterium. RNAcentral's name for it is "bacterial SSU rRNA". It matches the Rfam family "Bacterial small subunit ribosomal RNA", at positions 335 to 799 of the family's 1533-position model. The record is from RNAcentral.